AGACUCAAACUCCUUCAUGAGUCAAUCAACCGGCUACAAAAAUUGGUGUACAGGUCCUGGGCUUAAAAAUAGCGGAACAGAUCGGGAGUCGAAAAAGAUUAGGCCAAAAGCCCGCCUAUAUUUAUUCCGAGUUGUAUUUUGUAAUUUUGGGCCUAAGCCCCCUUGUCAUUAUUUAUUAUUAUUGCAUUAGUUUUUAGGACAGGUGAAAAUUUGGGCCAAAGGCCUAAAGGAAAUUAUUUCUUUUAAUUUUGGGCAGGUGGCAAGAAUUGGGCCUUUGGCCCAAAAUGAAAUGGGCCCAAGUAUUGGUCCAGGCGGACAGAAAAAACCAAGCUUGGGCUCGAGUCUCUUUCCCCCUUUACUUU
RNAcentral lists this long non-coding RNA (362 nucleotides) under Solanum tuberosum (potato). RNAcentral's name for it is "long non-coding RNA (STUB_LNC000631)". The record is from RNAcentral. Lineage: Eukaryota; Viridiplantae; Streptophyta; Magnoliopsida; Solanales; Solanaceae.